RNAcentral lists this ribosomal RNA (255 nucleotides) under Salmonella enterica. Its description in RNAcentral is "partial 16S ribosomal RNA". It matches the Rfam family "Bacterial small subunit ribosomal RNA", at positions 1261 to 1515 of the family's 1533-position model. Lineage: Bacteria; Pseudomonadati; Pseudomonadota; Gammaproteobacteria; Enterobacterales; Enterobacteriaceae. The record is from RNAcentral.
GAGCAAGCGGACCUCAUAAAGUGCGUCGUAGUCCGGAUUGGAGUCUGCAACUCGACUCCAUGAAGUCGGAAUCGCUAGUAAUCGUGGAUCAGAAUGCCACGGUGAAUACGUUCCCGGGCCUUGUACACACCGCCCGUCACACCAUGGGAGUGGGUUGCAAAAGAAGUAGGUAGCUUAACCUUCGGGAGGGCGCUUACCACUUUGUGAUUCAUGACUGGGGUGAAGUCGUAACAAGGUAACCGUAGGGGAACCUGC